RNAcentral lists this ribosomal RNA (90 nucleotides) under Caerostris extrusa. The record is from RNAcentral. Lineage: Eukaryota; Metazoa; Arthropoda; Arachnida; Araneae; Araneidae.
AACGGCCAUACCAUGCUGAAUAUACCGGUUCUCGUUAGAUCACCGAAGUCAAGCUUCAUUGGGCGCGGUCAGUACUUGGGUGGGUGACAC